UUAAACGUCCAUACCUCGUUGAAUACACCGGUUCUCGUCCGAUCACCGAAGUUAAGCAACGUCAGGCGCGGUCAGUACUUGGAUGGGUGACCGCCUCGGAACACCGCGGCGGAUGUUGACU
Molecule: ribosomal RNA, 121 nt
Filed under: Melitaea cinxia (Glanville fritillary)
Lineage: Eukaryota; Metazoa; Arthropoda; Insecta; Lepidoptera; Nymphalidae
Source: RNAcentral